RNAcentral lists this ribosomal RNA (492 nucleotides) under uncultured bacterium. RNAcentral describes it as "partial 16S ribosomal RNA". It matches the Rfam family "Bacterial small subunit ribosomal RNA", at positions 29 to 507 of the family's 1533-position model. The record is from RNAcentral.
AGUGAACGCUGGCGGUAGGCCUAACACAUGCAAGUCGAACGGCAGCACAGUAAGAGCUUGCUCUUACGGGUGGCGAGUGGCGGACGGGUGAGGAAUACAUCGGAAUCUACUUUUUCGUGGGGGAUAACGUAGGGACACUUACGCUAAUACCGCAUACGACCUACGGGUGAAAGCAGGGGAUCUUCGGACCUUGCGCGAUUGUAUGAGCCGAUGUCGGAUUAUCUAGUUGGCGGGGUAAAGGCCCACCAAGGCGACGAUCCGUAGCUGGUCUGAGAGGAUGAUCAGCCACACUGGAACUGAGACACGGUCCAGACUCCUACGGGAGGCAGCAGUGGGGAAUAUUGGACAAUGGGCGCAAGCCUGAUCCAGCCAUACCGCGUGGGUGAAGAAGGCCUUCGGGUUGUAAAGCCCUUUUGUUGGGAAAGAAAAGCAGCAGGUUAAUACCCCGCUGUUCUGACGGUACCCAAAGAAUAAGCACCGGCUAACUUCGUG